GACCGGCGGCAUGAAUUUUAGUUUGAACCCCCGAAACUAAGUGAGCUACUUCGAGAUAGUCUUAAGAACGCACCCGUCUCUGUUGCAAAAGAGUGGGAAAAACUCCAAGUAGAGGCAACAAACCUAUCGCACCUAGAGAUAGCUGGUUACUCAAGAAAAGAAUUUAAGUUCAACCUAAAGUUCCUUAAUUACACAAAACAAAACUUUAGAGCCACUCAAAUAAGGCACAGCUUAUUUGAAAUAGGAUCCAACCUACAUUAUAGGGUAAUCAUACUAAAUAAGUAACAAGUGGGCCUAAAAGCAGCCACCUACAAAAAGCGUUAAAGCUUAAUACUAAUUUUUACUAAUACCACUACUUCCUUAGAACCCUUUAUUGAUAUUGAGUUACUCCAUAAGCUUAUGGAAGCUAUUAUGCUAGAACUAGUAACAAGAAACAGAUUUUCUCCUAAAUAUAAGCCUAAGCCUCAAUAGACAAACUAUAGGCAAUUAACGUAAAUGAAAAUAUUAUAAUAACCCAAACAAGAAAAACCUAUAACUAAACAACGUUACCCUUACACUAGAAUAUUAAAGGAAAGAUUAAAAGAAAAAGAAGGAACUCGGCAAACCACAACCCCGCCUGUUUACCAAAAACAUCGCCUCUUGCCUCAUAUAAGAGGUCCAGCCUGCCCAGUGACAAAAUUCAACGGCCACGGUAUCCUGACCGCGCGAAGGUAGCAUAAUAACUCGUUCUUUAAAUGGGGACUUGAAUCAACGGCAUCACGAGGGUUACACUGUCUCCUUUUUCUAAUCAGUGAAACUAAUCUCCCCGUGAAGAAGCGAGGAUACCCAUAUAAGACGAGAAGACCCCAUGGAGCUUCAAACCCAAUUACACCCCCAACUUCUAUAAUACUGAACUUUAAGGGCCCUGUACAAUUGGUUUUAGGUUGGGGCGACCACGGAGUAUAACAAAACCUCCACAAUGAACGGAAUUAACUCCUCAUCUAAGAAAUACACCUCUAAGAAUUAAAAUAUUAACAUAAAAUGAUCCACUUUUUGAUCAAUGAACCAAGUUACCCUGGGGAUAACAGCGCAAUCCAUUUCAAGAGCCCCUAUCGACAAAUGGGUUUACGACCUCGAUGUUGGAUCAGGGUAUCCUAGUGGUGUAGCA
This 1147-nucleotide ribosomal RNA is filed under the name Mantidactylus curtus. RNAcentral's name for it is "partial 16S ribosomal RNA". It matches the Rfam family "Bacterial large subunit ribosomal RNA", at positions 685 to 2560 of the family's 2925-position model. Lineage: Eukaryota; Metazoa; Chordata; Amphibia; Anura; Mantellidae. The record is from RNAcentral.